RNAcentral lists this ribosomal RNA (167 nucleotides) under Cyanosporus subcaesius. RNAcentral's name for it is "Postia subcaesia 5.8S ribosomal RNA". It matches the Rfam family "5.8S ribosomal RNA". From Rfam's summary of the family: 5.8S ribosomal RNA (5.8S rRNA) is a component of the large subunit of the eukaryotic ribosome. It is transcribed by RNA polymerase I as part of the 45S precursor that also contains 18S and 28S rRNA. Lineage: Eukaryota; Fungi; Basidiomycota; Agaricomycetes; Polyporales; Postiaceae. The record is from RNAcentral.
CAACUUUCAGCAACGGAUCUCUUGGCUCUCGCAUCGAUGAAGAACGCAGCGAAAUGCGAUAAGUAAUGUGAAUUGCAGAAUUCAGUGAAUCAUCGAAUCUUUGAACGCACCUUGCGCUCCUUGGUAUUCCGAGGAGCAUGCCUGUUUGAGUGUCAUGGAAUCAUCAA